This is a non-coding RNA of Schizosaccharomyces pombe (fission yeast), 294 nucleotides long. The record is from the annotation of a GenBank genome assembly. NCBI's taxonomy places the organism in Eukaryota, Fungi, Ascomycota, Schizosaccharomycetes, Schizosaccharomycetales, Schizosaccharomycetaceae.
AUUAAGUAUAGCAUUUUUGAACAUCUAAUAAUUAAACGUACACAUUAACCGAUAACGCUUUUCUGCCUUUCUUAUAGUAAGCGGAUAGAAAGUGAAUAUGAAAACGGAAAAUUAAAGGGAUUUAUUACUUUUUUUACUUAUCUUACAAGAUAUACAUAUAUUCACAUUUUUUCAAAGCUUUUCAAAAAAAAAAUAUAAAGACAUCUCAUUUUCCGGUUGUACUCACCGUUCAUCUGUUACAACAUCGACAGAAUUACAAAAGCCAAGCGCAUUAUAUAAAAUUCAAUAUGACUG